GAAUGAUGAGAACUCAUAGCUGGCACCAGUCAGACGGGGAUGAAAUAUUCCUCCAUGCUGAGUAGCUUGCGGUCCGGGAAACGCUAUCUGGAUCCUGAA
Molecule: small nucleolar RNA, 99 nt
Filed under: Aspergillus tubingensis CBS 134.48
Lineage: Eukaryota; Fungi; Ascomycota; Eurotiomycetes; Eurotiales; Aspergillaceae
Description: A. fumigatus snoRNA Afu_190
Rfam family: A. fumigatus snoRNA Afu_190
Source: Rfam by way of RNAcentral